UGCUAAGCAACACCGUCCCACGCUACACUACGCAGAGAGGCCCACCACUAACAGCCCUGCCGCGUGAGGGUGUGCUGAGAGCCAAGGCCGAAGAGAGCAUGCAGAAAGGCUUUCCUGUACAGGGGUGCCUCCGUUUCACGUUCAGUCUACAGCAGAAAUGAAGCCAAGAAGACCGGAGGCGCAGCUUCAGAGCUUAAUGGUUUCCAUGAAUAAAGGGUUCAUGCACGGACUUCAAGCCAUCUAUGAAUCCCAUUUUGUCUUUGUGGAGUUUCCGGGAACAAAGCCCAUAGGUUUUAUCAGACUGUCAAAAGUGUCAAUUACCAAGAUGACCCCAAAUUGGAGACCUGCUGCUUUAGGGUUGCAUCAGUACUUAGUACUUUUAAAAAUUUAUUUUAAAAUACUUUUAAAUUCUAGAAAGGCUGCAAGGACAGUGCAAAACAACUCUCUCCUUGCCUUUACCCAGAUCUGGCAAUUGCUAACCUCCCAUUCUGACUCACACACGCAUCAUACUCAGUCUUUUUCUGAAUCAUUGGAGAAAAGCUUCAGACCUAAUUCCACAUCACCUGUACAAGAUUCAGCAUCUAUUUCCCCAAACAAGGACCUCUCAGAUUAGGAACUCAAUAUUGCUACAACACUGCCAUUCAUAGACUCUAUUCAAUUUUAAUUUUGCCAAUUGUCCCAAGGAUGUCUUCCUUCCCUCCUUCCUUGCUUUUCUCCUUCCUUCUAUCUUUCUCCCUCCCUCCCUUCUUUUUCUAUGUUGGGUUUCCAACCCAGGCUCCCUUAGUGCUAGGCAGGCACUUUACCACUGACAUAUACCCCAGGGUCCCUCUUUUUUUUAAAAAAAAAUUUUCUGGCUCAGGGUCCCAUUCAGGAACACACACCUCAUUAAUGGCAUGUCUUUUCAGUGCUUUCCCAUCGGAAGUGGUUCCUUGGUUUUUGGUCCUGCCCCUGACGGCUGGAAAGAAUUCAGCACGCACAUUGCCUUCCUGAGCCCCGGGAGGCUCCUCAUGACUCAUGAUGGGCUCCAGCACACUCAUGGGCAGCUUUGCUUUUCUCAUCCUGUGGACCCAUCACUGGCAAUGUGAACCUUGAUCAUUCAGUCACACCGAAGUGUCCACUGCCGGGUUACUGUUUGUUCUUUUAGAACAUUUGGGAAGUAUUCCAACAAUAUGUGGAGUCUCUUCCUUAACGAAACUUCACUCCCUGGUCUUACCAUCUGUUGAUGACUCCAGCCUAGUAACAGUCACACUGACAAAUAACUUUGUAUUUAUAUCACUCCUUCUCAUGGACUGACUGGCAUUAUAAUGCAAAGGAAGACCUUUUAUUCUUCCUGUCUGCUUAUAUAUUUUACUAGGUUAUACUUUGUUAUGGUAAGUAUUUUCAUACUAAGGGGUCCCUAAUUUGGUCAAUAAGAAUCCCCUCAAGCUGAGUUUUGUGUCCAUUCAACAAGUACCUGUCAGUUUUUGAGCACUUCCUCAGUUUCCAGUCCAAGAUGUUCUCAAUCCUCUUCUACUUUGUCUACCCUAGCCCUAGCAGCCACCAUUUCUUAAAGGAGUCGUGGUUCCUUUUAGGGGAGCACAUGGCAUAAGGGACCAGAAUCCUCAUAAUUUAUCAUUACCUGUAGAUCUUUUCAGAGGAUAGACUAGAAAGUCAGUUUACACACACACACAAACACACACACACACGCACAAUUUCUCCAGCUAUCUGUUUUUGCAUUUUAAAAAGUGAAUGCAUAAUACUACCAAGAUUUCUAAUCCAACAACUCAGGUUUAUUCCUCACCUUCUUCUUUUCUAUAUUCACACUUUCCCUUAACAGUGGGAAACUUGGGUGUCAUUUUCGCAAUCUAUUUACUUACGUGCCCCACGGAAUCAAGUGCAACCACACGGGCCCUCUUUCUCUGCCACCUGUACCCUCCCUCCCACCCGCCACAGUCUUGCCCAUACUGCUACUGCAUCUUCACUUCAGGGAAGAGAAAUAGGAAAGGAAAAUGGGAGGGAAGAUAGGAAGGAAAAGAAGAUGAAAAAGGAAGAGGGAAUAAGAGAAGAUGGGAAAGGAAGAGUUUAAUAUUAACAUAGUGCCUUAAGUUGCCUUUAGUAGUUUAAUGUCAAUAAUGCUAAACUUAGGCUAAGGUACUUUUCCUGAUUGUUGUAAGCUCCCAGUAAAAAGUUGAAGGUUUAAUGGCAUUUAAGAGGCUGCAAAAGUCACACGAUAAGGUGGAAGACUGGGAGGCCUACGACGGGCAAAUUUGUUCGUAAUUCUGAUUCCUCUUCGCUUCGUGUGGCUGGGGCAGCUACUGCCCAGCUGAGUCUGCUGUCUCAUCACCACAAUGGAAUAUUUACUUUACAGGUUUGCUACUGAUAUGCAUUGGGCAUAAUAAGAUGUUUGCUUAAUAACUGUUGUUAGUUUGUUAUCAUUACAGUUAGUGCUCAAAAAAAUCACACUGUGUCCUCCCACACCUCUACUCUGUAUGAGUCAGGUUUUUGUCACUAUAGCAAAAUACCUGACACAGGCAAUUUAGAAAGAAAAAGAGGCCCCUUAGCUCCCAGUGUUGCAAGCUGCUUCUGGUGAGAACCUUUCGGAGAGUGGUGGACGGUGAAGCGGUCACAGCUUGCUCGGGCCAUAGCGAACUGGCAGGUCUGACUCAGGUUUUGAUAACGGCUCUUGAGAGCCCCGAGAACCACCUGCCAGGACCUACACCCUCCUACUAAUGGCUCCACCACCCGCCAGAGGCGCCAUGCUGGGACCAAGCUUUUGAUAACAAUGGCCCCUCUGGAAGAACCAUUUCCUGACCACAGCACCCUCUUAUUUUCUUGCUGAGUGGAAACCAGCAUUAUUAUAUCGUGGUAGGUUAACUAAAGGUCAACUUGGGACGCCCAGCUGAACUGAGUCAGGGUGACUCUGAACGUGGAAGACGCACCUGAGGAUUUGCCAACGGUAUAAAAGAACUGGAGGGGGAAGACUGCAUGCUGUUGAUCUUCCUGGAGAAGCUGACUGUGGCUGUUUAUUUCUGAUAUGAACUCGUUCUUGUGGUCAGAGGAGCUCAAGUUCUUGCUGCUGCUGGGCAAGGCUGCUGUUUGCUUCAGGGGAGCUCUGGUCUUUGUCUUGAGCGGUGCUUCCUGCCUCUGGUGCAGAUCCUUCAGCCUGGUGGCACUGACUCUUCACCCAGCGGCCUUGGGCCUUCCUGGUGCAGAUCCUUGAUAUGAACUUGCAGGAGACAUUGCUGUGGGCUCCAGGCACUGGCUGGACUCUAGGCCUUCAG
Molecule: non-coding RNA, 3260 nt
Organism: Heterocephalus glaber (naked mole-rat)
Lineage: Eukaryota; Metazoa; Chordata; Mammalia; Rodentia; Bathyergidae
Source: RefSeq, a predicted model, not a curated record